UACAGAGGUGCCAAGCGUUGUUCGGAUUUAUUGGGCGUAAAGGGUGCGUAGGCGGUGAUGCAAGUCGGUUGUGAAAUUCCGGAGCCUAACUCCGGAACUGCAUUCGAAACUGCAUCGCUCGAGGUCUGGAGAGGUAAUUGGAAUUCUAGGUGUAGCAGUGAAAUGCGUAGAUAUCUAGAGGAACACCAGAGGCGAAAGCGAAUUACUGGACAGAACCUGACGCUGAGGCACGAAAGCUAGGGGAGCAAACGGG
Molecule: ribosomal RNA, 253 nt
Filed under: uncultured bacterium
Lineage: Bacteria
Description: partial 16S ribosomal RNA
Rfam family: Bacterial small subunit ribosomal RNA
Source: RNAcentral